This is a long non-coding RNA of Homo sapiens (human), 2253 nucleotides long. Ensembl annotates it as long intergenic non-protein coding RNA 2411. The record is from Ensembl. NCBI's taxonomy places the organism in Eukaryota, Metazoa, Chordata, Mammalia, Primates, Hominidae.
GGGAACACAGUGGGUAAGAGAAGAAAACAUGGAGAAUUAUUUUACAGCUGUGAUGUUGUCAAUUGUACAAUAUCUACUCCAAUUUCCUCCCAUCUUUGAGAUGACUGAUAAGAAUGCCUUAUGUGUCACACAGGAUCAUAACACAAACUUUCUUCUCUUUCCUGAUGCCCCUCUCAAAUUUACUCAGUAGGGGGAACUUCACCUUCUCCUAUCUCCUGGGAAAUAACCACUAAAGUCUUGAAAUGUCUUGAGUGAUUGGAGGACCUUUAUUUUUCACGCCUGAUGCCUUAUGCUGAUGAGAUGACUCAGCAGGGGAUGGCCAGGCCAGAAAGACCAAAACUGUAUCCUGAGGUUUGAGUUUCUGAGCCAGGUGAUGUCAUCCUCCAGCUUGGCCGGCCUCUUUCUGGGAGCCUCUGGUGUGAAAGAGAGCAGGAGUUUGCCUAAAUCUUCAAAGAUAUGUGAGGCUUGCCUAGAACAUCAUCAUCAGGAAUGCUGGUCCUUCAAUUUGUUUUUUGAAUUGAAGUGUAGUUUACAGUGAUCAAGUUGAAAAUAAGGCUCUGCAUGAAAGCUAACUAUUAAAAGGGUGUGGGCACAGGAGCAACCAACACAGACCCCACAGAAUCCCAAACCUAUGCUAAGAGGGAGCACUUCCAUCCCUCCAAACCUGUGCUAAGAGGGACACCUCCAUCCUUCUAAGCCUGUGCUAAGAGGGAACACCUCCAUCCUUCCAAACCUGUGAUAGGAGGGAGCAUCUCCAUCCUUCUGAACCUGUGCUAAGAGGAAACACCUCCAUCCUUCCAAACCUGUGAUAGGAGGGAGCACCUCCAUCCUUCCGAACCUGUGCUAAGAGGGACACCUCCAUCCUUCCAAGCCUGUGCUAAGAGGGAGCACCUCCAUCCUUCCAAACCUGUGAUAGGAGGGAGCACCUCCAUCCUUCCAAGCCUGUGCUAAGAGGGAGCACCUCCAUCCUUCCAAACCUGUGAUAGGAGGGAGCACCUCCAUCCUUCCGAACCUGUGCUAAGAGGGACACCUCCAUCCUUCCAAGCCUGUGCUAAGAAGGAGCACCUCCAUCCUUCCAUCUGGCAACCCCACAUCUUUCUGUGCAGCAUUGGCUCAUGGAGUUUUGCACAAUCUGUUGCCUUAAUGCAGCUGUGAGGUGGUAAACCCCAUGCCAUUGCACAGCUGUGCUGGUGGAGUCUUCAACAACAGAGGGAUGAAACGAGAGUGCUGAGUGAUGGGUGGAGUGUGCUCACAGAAGCCAGCUGUGCUUGCCCCACUCCCACCCAAAAUGUUUACCCACGUGGGAAAUGCCUGCCCUGCAUAGGAGUACCCAAGGAACCCAGGAUAUAAAGAAACUUCUAAAAUGGAUCUGAAAGGGGGAAGAGCCCUCCCCUGUAAGGAAGCGAGAGAGUUGUAGGAAGUAAUGUCGAUAGGGAAGAAAGGGCUCGUAAGUAUGGGAGAGCAUUUUGCCUCCUAUUCUAUCGACUCUUUGAAGCAUGCAAGCACGCUGCUCCACAGGCUUAGCUGCACAGAGACGCACUACUCCAUUUACUCAUGGGCUGCCCGUGGGGCUUGGCGAAAGAGCAGGCUUGGCUUAGGGGAACUACUGAGACACAUCCAGGUAUUCAAACCGUGGGUUGCCAAGACUUCUCUUUUCAUCCUGAGAGUAUGGAAUAACAUUUGCUAAAAUGUCAAAGGUGAUGCUGGCAGUUUUGGGAGACGCAGAGAUGGCUGAGAGUCUGCGGGGGCUUGGCAAGUGCACGCACCAGUCUCCCAGCUGACACAUCUACAGAAACCUUCAGGGAGCAAAACAGAAUCCAGGAUUUAUUAAAAAUCAUCAACUUCAAAUUAUUUGGAUGGAAACAUUGCCAAAUCAUAGAGAUGUUUGCUACCACCCGCACACCAAGCAGCUGGGUAACUAGAAGUGCAGGAUCAGCUUAUUCACCUCCGAAAGCCUGCAUGCAACCACUGAGGCCGCCUCUAUUUUUUACAUAGUUCUACUUGGUGUAUGUAACCCCACAGAGAAACCUGGAAGAAUGCAUGAAACCUAGUAAGGCAACCAGCACAUGCAACAGAAUGAACCGUUUCUUUCCAUCUGAAUGCCUAAAUGUGGACUCUGAUCCUUUCUACCAAGUCCUAAGUUUGGGAAAAGAGGACAAGGACAGGGGCUCUGUCCCAUAUCAUAAUGUGCUUGUGAAUGGCUAAAAUUACAAUGCUGAGAUAAGUGUGUGUAAUAAAAUAAUUGCACCCCGA